UGCUGCAUGGCUGUCGUCAGCUCGUGUUGUGAAAUGUUGGUUAAGUCCCGCAACGAGCGCAACCCUUAUCCUUGUUGCCAGCGGUCCGGCCGGGAACUCAAAGGAGACUGCCAGUGAUAAACUGGAGGAAGGUGGGAUGACGUCAAGUCAUCAUGGCCCUUAGGACCAGGGCUACACACGUGCUACAAUGGCGCAUACAAAGAGAAGCGACCUCGCGAGAGCAAGCGGACCUCAUAAAGUGCGUCGUAGUCCGGAUUGGAGUCUGCAACUCGACUCCAUGAAGUCGGAAUCGCUAGUAAUCGUGGAUCAGAAUGCCACGGUGAAUACGUUCCCGGGCCUU
This 340-nucleotide ribosomal RNA is filed under the name uncultured Enterobacteriaceae bacterium. RNAcentral describes it as "bacterial SSU rRNA". It matches the Rfam family "Bacterial small subunit ribosomal RNA", at positions 1039 to 1382 of the family's 1533-position model. Lineage: Bacteria; Pseudomonadati; Pseudomonadota; Gammaproteobacteria; Enterobacterales; Enterobacteriaceae. The record is from RNAcentral.